CGCGCCGAGCCCGCUAAACCAUAGAGAGAGGGGGGGAGGGAAGGGCUCGGGCUUUUAUCCACGUGACCUGAGUCUAGACCUAUUCGUCACAUAGCCUACCGCCGCCAUCUUGAACAAGGAGGAAAAAGGGCGGGCGGGAAAAGGUAGGGCAGGUCUGUAACCGUUCAUACCGAAGUAAGGUGCGGGUCGUGUCAGUCCCCCUGAGAAGGUAGGGAUUCGCCAUAAAUGCUUUGUCCCUGCUGAGAGAAAUGCCGGAGAACUGCACUAUUUCACCCGUCACUGGCGUUAGCUGGAAGAGAAACCGGCGGGAAGCUACUGCUCUAACUGAAGCGUAUUGGGAAAUGUAGUCCGCACGUGCUAAGUCAAUGCCAUUAUCAUCUCAAAAGUGCGGGUGUACGAAGCACAAUAAACUGUUAACUGUCCUGGAGCCUGUGAGAGAAAACAAGGGAAUAGAACAUAGGAUGCUUCAUGUAAGAGUAACUAAUAAACAGGACUUGUGACAAUAUUUACUGUCAGUUUGUGAAGACAAGUCUGUAAAAUGUGCCUUCUGGUAAUUUACUGUUUUGUUGAGUUUUUCUGUUGUAGAAACCUUAUAUAGUAAGGGAAUUACAGAAAAGGUAUGCAUCUUUCUGGAAAGACCUAAAUAUUAUUAAAAUCCAAGUUAUAUGCUAUAAUAAUGUUUGCAACAAUGAAGACAUCUUACAGGAAAUAUCCAUUCCGUGAUACUGCAUAACAGUAAAGGCAAACAACACUUGUACUUCAUGACAGUUUACUGUAUCUCUAAACUAUCUUCAAAAAUACACUUCUUGGUUUGUAUCACACACAUAUACUUGAACAGUAGGACAGUUAUUCUUCAGAUUGGAAAGACAUUACAAAACAAAGCACUUAAGAUUGUUGAAACAAUGACAAGAAAUACAAGUAAAAUAUUGCUGAUAUUUGAAAUAAUUUUGUCAUAAUUCAACAACAGUGACCAAUGUUAUCUGGGGCAAAAAAACAAACAAACCCAGUUACAUAUACAUUUCAGAGAGAAGGCUAAAAAAGCAGAACUUCCAAAAACAACAAUAAAACAAUUAUCAAUGAAGAGAGGUAUGGUAGUGUUUGAGUGCUACACUCAAUUCUCUGCCUUUUCAGAUCCAUUUAUUUCAACAUGGCACUUCACAAACUGUUCACCACUAUCUUUAUCCAUAGCAGAAAUUCUGUUAGAAUUUUUAUUCAUUGGCCACAGGUAAAAUACAUUCAAAUAUAGUGAAAGAAAGAAAGAAAGAAGGAAGGAAAAUUGCAUGAUCUGAUACAAAUAAGCUUAUCUGCCAGCAAAGGCAAAUAUUAAGUAAGAAUGCAAGCAUACAACUUAGUAUUCUUAAUAAAUACAUGUUCAAGCAUUUAACGUUAUCAAUGUUUUAAAAGAAUUUAAAUAAUAAAUGCAACUUUGUUCUUUUUUUUUUUUUACAGAACUGUAUGAUUUAUUAUACACACAAGUACAUCUUCCCUUUGUUUACAAAGGCUGGUUACAGAUAAUGUGGAAUGUUACAGUACCCUCUUGCAUAAAAUUUUUGUACAACAUUGUACUUGGAAAAAACUGGUGCAAAACACCUGCCUAAUAAAUCCAAAUGAAUUGAA
Molecule: non-coding RNA, 1617 nt
Organism: Pogona vitticeps (central bearded dragon)
Lineage: Eukaryota; Metazoa; Chordata; Lepidosauria; Squamata; Agamidae
Source: RefSeq, a predicted model, not a curated record